GGAAUAUUGCGCAAUGGGCGAAAGCCUGACGCAGCCACGCCGCGUGAGCGAUGAAGGCCCUAGGGUCGUAAAGCUCUGUGGAGGGAGAAGAAUAAAGCCGUUGAAGAGACGGCCUUGACGGUAUCCCUUUAGCAAGCACCGGCUAACUCCGUGCCAGCCGCCGCGGUAAUACGGAGGGUGCAAACGUUGCUCGGAAUCAUUGGGCGUAAAGCGCACGUAGGCGGCUUGGCAAGUUGGAUGUGAAAGCCCUGGGCUCAACCCAGGAAGUGCAUCCAAAACUGCCUGGCUCGAGUUCCGAAGGGGGCCAGAGAAUUCCCGGUGUAGAGGUGAAAUUCGUAGAUAUCGGGAGGAAUACCAGUGGCGAAGGCGCUGGCCUGGUCGGAGACUGACGCUGAGGUGCGAUAGCGUGGGGAGCAAAC
RNAcentral lists this ribosomal RNA (419 nucleotides) under uncultured bacterium. RNAcentral describes it as "bacterial SSU rRNA". It matches the Rfam family "Bacterial small subunit ribosomal RNA", at positions 358 to 773 of the family's 1533-position model. The record is from RNAcentral.